AGAGUUUGAUCAUGGCUCAGAAUCAACGCUGGCGGCGUGCCUCAGACAUGCAAGUCGAACGCGAAAGUCCCCUUCGGGGGAUAAGUAGAGUGGCGUCCGGGUGAGUAACACGUAGGUAAUCUACCUUCGGGUGGGGAAUAACCCAGGGAAACUUGGGCUAAUACCGCAUAAUGCAGCGGCACCACAUGGUGACAGUUGUUAAAGCGGGGGAUCUUCGGAUCUCGCGCCUGAAGAGGAGCCUGCGGCAGAUUAGCUAGUUGGUAAGGUAACGGCUUACCAAGGCGACGAUCUGUAGCCGGCCUGAGAGGGCGGUCGGCCACACUGACACUGACAUACGGGUCAGACUCCUACGGGAGGCAGCAGUCGGGAAUUUUGGGCAAUGGGCGAAAGCCUGACCCAGCAACGCCGCGUGAAGGAUGAAAUCCCUCGGGAUGUAAACUUCGCAAGAAUGGGAAGAAUUAGUAGGGGUUAAUACCCUCUAUGAUGACGGUACCAUUUGUAAGCUCCGGCUAACUCCGUGCCAGCAGCCGCGGUAAUACGGGGGGAGCAAGCGUUGUUCGGAUUUACUGGGCGUAAAGGGCGCGUAGGCGGUCAGCACAAGUCAGUUGUGAAAUCUCCGGGCUUAACUCGGAAAGGUCAACUGAUACUGUGCGACUAGAGUGCGGAAGGGGCAACUGGAAUUCUCGGUGUAGCGGUGAAAUGCGUAGAUAUCGAGAGGAACACCUGCGGCGAAGGCGGGUUGCUGGGCCGACACUGACGCUGAUGCGCGAAAGCCAGGGGAGCGAACGGGAUUAGAUACCCUAGUAGUCC
RNAcentral lists this ribosomal RNA (810 nucleotides) under uncultured bacterium. RNAcentral describes it as "bacterial SSU rRNA". It matches the Rfam family "Bacterial small subunit ribosomal RNA", at positions 8 to 796 of the family's 1533-position model. The record is from RNAcentral.